RNAcentral lists this ribosomal RNA (253 nucleotides) under uncultured bacterium. RNAcentral's name for it is "partial 16S ribosomal RNA". It matches the Rfam family "Bacterial small subunit ribosomal RNA", at positions 524 to 776 of the family's 1533-position model. The record is from RNAcentral.
UACAGAGGUCCCAAGCGUUGUUCGGAUUCACUGGGCGUAAAGGGUGCGUAGGUGGUGAGGUAAGUCGGAUGUGAAAUCUCCGGGCUCAACCCGGAAAUGGCAUUGGAAACUACCUUGCUGGAGGAUUUGAGGGGGGAUUGGAAUACUUGGUGUAGCAGUGAAAUGCGUAGAUAUCAAGUGGAACACCAGUGGCGAAGGCGAAUCCCUGGAAAAUACCUGACACUGAGGCACGAAAGCUAGGGGGGCAAACAGG